Molecule: ribosomal RNA, 545 nt
Filed under: uncultured archaeon
Lineage: Archaea
Description: bacterial SSU rRNA
Rfam family: Archaeal small subunit ribosomal RNA
Source: RNAcentral
GUCAGCAGCCGCGGUAACACCGGCGGCCCGAGUGGUGAUCGUGAUUAUUGGGUCUAAAGGGUCCGUAGCCGGUUUGGUCAGUCCUCCGGGAAAUCUGAUAGCUCAACUAUUAGGGCUUUCGGGGGAUACUGCCAGACUUGGAACCGGGAGAGGUAAGAGGUACUACAGGGGUAGGAGUGAAAUCUUGUAAUCCCUGGUGGGACCACCUGUGGCGAAGGCGUCUUACCAGAACGGGUUCGACGGUGAGGGACGAAAGCUGGGGGCACGAACCGGAUUAGAUACCCGGGUAGUCCCAGCCGUAAACGAUGCUCGCUAGGUGUCAGGCAUGGCGCGACCGUGUCUGGUGCCGCAGGGAAGCCGUGAAGCGAGCCACCUGGGAAGUACGGCCGCAAGGCUGAAACUUAAAGGAAUUGGCGGGGGAGCACAACAACGGGUGGAGCCCUGCGGUUUAAUUGGACUCAACGCCGGACAACUCACCGGGGGCGACAGCAAUAUGUAGGCCAAGCUGAAGACUUUGCCUGAACUCGCUGAGUGGUGGUGCAUGG